This is a long non-coding RNA of Micropterus dolomieu (smallmouth bass), 488 nucleotides long. RefSeq lists it as uncharacterized. The record is from RefSeq and is a predicted model, not a curated record. The transcript has 3 exons. NCBI's taxonomy places the organism in Eukaryota, Metazoa, Chordata, Actinopteri, Centrarchiformes, Centrarchidae.
UUGUUGUCCUGGUCCAUGUUUGAAGCACUGGAAGCUGCGUGUGACAGAGAGCAGGAUGAAGCCAUGCGUUAUUUACGACUGAACAGUGAGACGUUCACUGACAGCUGGAGACAGUAAGUUGCUGACUGCUGACGUAGCUUAAAGUGUAACGAGCAAUGGUUUCUGUCUGAAUCGCAGCUAACGCGGUGAUGUUGAUGGGAAACGUGUUCACGGUAUAAUUAUUGGUUUCAACUGGAACGCUAAGACUGACUGACCAGGUAUAACAACAUGUCAUGAAUAAUCAUACCCACUGGACCAAGCUGUCAUUGCAAUGUGCAAGGGCUGUUCAUUGGGCCAUUUGGACCACAACUGCCUUCCAGGUUCUGUCUUUGUCAAAUUCCUGCAGCGUUCCAUUAGAUGCUUGCUGCUGAGGGAGCAAAACAGGAAGAUGGAGGAAGAGAGAGAGAUUGGAGAGAUGAAAUGUGGAAGAGAUAAAUGAUGUGUGAAGG